GUAGGGGGCAAGCGUUAUCCGGAUUUACUGGGUGUAAAGGGAGCGUAGACGGCUGUGCAAGUCUGGAGUGAAAGGCAUGGGCUCAACCCGUGGACUGCUUUGGAAACUGUGCGGCUAGAGUGUCGGAGAGGUAAGUGGAAUUCCUAGUGUAGCGGUGAAAUGCGUAGAUAUUAGGAGGAACACCAGUGGCGAAGGCGGCUUACUGGACGAUGACUGACGUUGAGGCUCGAAAGCGUGGGGAGA
RNAcentral lists this ribosomal RNA (243 nucleotides) under uncultured bacterium. RNAcentral's name for it is "partial 16S ribosomal RNA". It matches the Rfam family "Bacterial small subunit ribosomal RNA", at positions 527 to 769 of the family's 1533-position model. The record is from RNAcentral.